CCAAGCAUCCUCGCGCGACCCCGAGAGCCCGGGGAGCGGGGGCUUGCCGGCCCUGGCACUCAUUUACCCAGAGACAGGGAGAGGCUCUUCUACAUUCCCCUCCUGCCACCUGCUCUUGUCCACGGUGAGCCUGCUGUAGAGGAAGAAGGAGCCGUCGGAGUCCAGCACGGGAGGCGUGGUCUUGUAGUUGUUCUCCGGCUGCCCAUUGCUCUCCCACUCCACGGCGAUGUCGCUGGGGUAGAAGCCUUUGACCAGGCAGGUCAGGCUGACCUGGUUCUUGGUCAUCUCCUCCCGGGAUGGGGGCAGGGUGUACACCUGUGGUUCUCGGGGCUGCCCUAUGGUUUUCUCGAUGGGGGCUGGGAGGCCUUUGUUGGAGACCUUGCACUUGUACUCCUUGCCGUUCAGCCAGUCCUGGUGCACG
Molecule: long non-coding RNA, 421 nt
Filed under: Homo sapiens (human)
Lineage: Eukaryota; Metazoa; Chordata; Mammalia; Primates; Hominidae
Description: HSALNT0216887
Source: RNAcentral